Small nucleolar RNA from Nicotiana attenuata, 107 nucleotides. It matches the Rfam family "Plant small nucleolar RNA R71". From Rfam's summary of the family: R71 is a member of the C/D box family of snoRNAs containing the C (UGAUGA) and D (CUGA) box motifs. The record is from Rfam. NCBI's taxonomy places the organism in Eukaryota, Viridiplantae, Streptophyta, Magnoliopsida, Solanales, Solanaceae.
AAGCCAUGAUGUGGGCACCUAACCAGCAUAACCUUGAACCUCUCCAACGUUUCUUUUAAUGUUUCUAUUGGUUUCUGCCUGAAACUCAAUAUCUCAUCAAUUUGUUG